This 872-nucleotide ribosomal RNA is filed under the name Alteromonadales bacterium. Its description in RNAcentral is "bacterial SSU rRNA". It matches the Rfam family "Bacterial small subunit ribosomal RNA", at positions 613 to 1484 of the family's 1533-position model. The record is from RNAcentral. Lineage: Bacteria; Pseudomonadati; Pseudomonadota; Gammaproteobacteria; Alteromonadales.
CUUGGGAACUGCAUUUGAAACUGGUUGACUAGAGUUUUGUAGAGGGUGGUAGAAUUUCAGGUGUAGCGGUGAAAUGCGUAGAGAUCUGAAGGAAUACCAGUGGCGAAGGCGGCCACCUGGACAAAGACUGACACUGAGGCGCGAAGGCGUGGGGAGCAAACGGGAUUAGAUACCCCGGUAGUCCACGCAGUAAACGAUGUCUAUUAGAAGUUUGUGGCUAUAUGCCGUGGGUUUCAAAGCUAACGCAUUAAAUAGACCGCCUGGGGAGUACGGCCGCAAGGUUAAAACUCAAAUGAAUUGACGGGGGCCCGCACAAGCGGUGGAGCAUGUGGUUUAAUUCGAUGCAACGCGAAGAACCUUACCAUCCCUUGACAUCCAGAGAAUCACCUAGAGAUAGAUGAGUGCCUUCGGGAACUCUGAGACAGGUGCUGCAUGGCUGUCGUCAGCUCGUGUUGUGAAAUGUUGGGUUAAGUCCCGCAACGAGCGCAACCCUUAUCCUUAGUUGCCAGCACGUAAUGGUGGGAACUCUAGGGAGACUGCCGGUGAUAAACCGGAGGAAGGUGGGGACGACGUCAAGUCAUCAUGGCCCUUACGGGAUGGGCUACACACGUGCUACAAUGGCAAAUACAAAGGGUUGCUAACCUGCGAGGGUAUGCGAAUCUCAUAAAGUUUGUCGUAGUCCGGAUCGGAGUCUGCAACUCGACUCCGUGAAGUUGGAAUCGCUAGUAAUCGUGGAUCAGAAUGCCACGGUGAAUACGUUCCCGGGCCUUGUACACACCGCCCGUCACACCAUGGGAGUGGGCUGCACCAGAAGUCAUUAGCUUAACCUUCGGGAUGGCGAUGACCACGGUGUGGUUCAUGACUGGGGUGAA